UACGUAGGGGGCAAGCGUUGUCCGGAUUUAUUGGGCGUAAAGCGCUCGCAGGCGGUCCGAUGCGUCGUGCGUGAAAGACCCCGGCUCAACUGGGGAGGGUCGUGCGAUACGGUCGGACUCGAGGCCAGUAGGGGGACGCGGAAUUCCGGGUGUAGUGGUGGAAUGCGUAGAGAUCCGGAGGAACACCAGCGGCGAAGGCGGCGUCCUGGACGUCGUACGUGACGCUGCGGACG
Molecule: ribosomal RNA, 233 nt
Filed under: uncultured bacterium
Lineage: Bacteria
Description: partial 16S ribosomal RNA
Rfam family: Bacterial small subunit ribosomal RNA
Source: RNAcentral